Molecule: long non-coding RNA, 428 nt
Organism: Capsicum annuum
Lineage: Eukaryota; Viridiplantae; Streptophyta; Magnoliopsida; Solanales; Solanaceae
Exons: 2
Source: RefSeq, a predicted model, not a curated record
AACCAUGAAUUUAAGAUCUACAAGUUGCUAUAAAUCUAUCCAAGAUAAAUUAGCAACUUUAAUUUAUUUAGAUAUGGCAAUGAACAAGUGUUCCUUCUCUUGGUUUUUGGUUUGUUUAAUUCUCAUUACCAUUGGUAUGAAGAGCGAGGCCAUGGAUGCUACCAUGAAUCACCCACACCCACCAUGCAAGACAUACAAUGAUUGCUGGCAUUUUUGUGGCCUAAUGAUCCCAUUUUGUGUGGAGGGCAUUUGUCAAUGUGGUAUUGCCCCAAAGCAAAAGAACAAGUCUAUUAGAUAUUCUCCAAAUGAGUAAUUAGAAAACUUUAAUUAAUUGUUCUCCUACUCCACAUUUCCUUUGAUUUAAUUUCUUGCAAUGAAAUAAAGAUUGUUGGAGUAUUUGAUAUAAAUUAUAAAGUUGUUUCAUAUUA